GAUGAACGCUGGCGGCGUGCCUAAUACAUGCAAGUCGAACGCGCAGCGAAAGGUGCUUGCACCUUUCACGCGAGUGGCGAACGGGUGAGCAACACGUGGAUAACCUGCCUCAAGGCUGGGGAUAACAUUUGGAAACAGAUGCUAAUACCGAAUAAAACUUAGUAUCGCAUGAUACAAAGUUAAAAGGCGCUACGGCGUCACCUAGAGAUGGAUCCGCGGUGCAUUAGUUAGUUGGUGGGGUAAAGGCUUACCAAGACGAUGAUGCAUAGCCGAGUUGAGAGACUGAUCGGCCACAUUGGGACUGAGACACGGCCCAAACUCCUACGGGAGGCUGCAGUAGGGAAUCUUCCACAAUGGGCGCAAGCCUGAUGGAGCAACGCCGCGUGUGUGAUGAAGGCUUUCGGGUCGUAAAGCACUGUUGUAUGGGAAGAAAUGCUAAAAUAGGGAAUGAUUUUAGCUUGACGGUACCAUACCAGAAAGGGACGGCUAAAUACGUGCCAGCAGCCGCCGUAA
Molecule: ribosomal RNA, 513 nt
Filed under: uncultured bacterium
Lineage: Bacteria
Description: partial 16S ribosomal RNA
Rfam family: Bacterial small subunit ribosomal RNA
Source: RNAcentral